GAGGCUAUAGCUCAGUGGUAGAGCACAUGCUUAGCAUGCACGAGGUCCCAGGUUCAAUCCCCAGUACCUCCU
RNAcentral lists this transfer RNA (72 nucleotides) under Camelus bactrianus (Bactrian camel). It matches the Rfam family "tRNA". From Rfam's summary of the family: Transfer RNA (tRNA) molecules are approximately 80 nucleotides in length. RNAcentral also lists the same sequence under 3 other names. Lineage: Eukaryota; Metazoa; Chordata; Mammalia; Artiodactyla; Camelidae. The record is from Rfam by way of RNAcentral.